AAUAGUGAAACAAAUUAGCAGUAGGGCCACCAAGAGAGUACAGCCAACCCUAAUUCAUAGAUGUCUCAGUUUAUCAGUUUUCUGUCAAUCACUAAAACAAGAAAGGUGAAACAUGUAAUUAUAUAUAAGGAGACAGAACUUCUAAUUCUCCCAUUCUAGCUGAAGCAUAGAGUUUUAAUUGCUUGGAAAAAUAAGAUUUUUGUUUU
Molecule: unclassified non-coding RNA, 206 nt
Organism: Fukomys damarensis (Damara mole-rat)
Lineage: Eukaryota; Metazoa; Chordata; Mammalia; Rodentia; Bathyergidae
Source: Ensembl